RNAcentral lists this ribosomal RNA (301 nucleotides) under uncultured bacterium. Its description in RNAcentral is "partial 16S ribosomal RNA". It matches the Rfam family "Bacterial small subunit ribosomal RNA", at positions 509 to 807 of the family's 1533-position model. The record is from RNAcentral.
CAGUAGCCGCGGUAAUACCGAGGGUGCAAGCGUUAAUCGGAAUUACUGGGCGUAAAGCGCGCGUAGGUGGUUUGUUAAGUUGGAUGUGAAAUCCCCGGGCUCAACCUGGGAACUGCAUCCAAAACUGGCAGGCUAGAGUCUCGUAGAGGGGGGUAGAAUUCCAGGUGUAGCGGUGAAAUGCGUAGAGAUCUGGAGGAAUACCGGUGGCGAAGGCGGCCCCCUGGACGAAGACUGACGCUCAGGUACGAAAGCGUGGGGAGCAAACAGGAUUAGAUACCCCAGUAGUCCCUGUCUCUUAUAC